AAUGAUUCUUUCCAGAACUUAACACCUCAGCUUCUGUAUUGAAGCAGGUGUUGACACCUCAAUGAAAAUCAACAACCUAUCAAAUUAUAACAAAUAAUACAGCUGUGGACAAAAGAAAUCAAAAACGAUUUGUAACACUGCGUUUAAUCAAUGGCUAAAUGAAGAUGAAGAUCGAACAAGAAGGAGAAGAGAAGUGUAUUCGCGAAUCGGAGAAGGAGAAGAGAAGCUGAUGAUUCGUUCAAUGUGUUAAUAAAGAUCUCGACUUUGUUAAUUGCUAUUCCGUCUGGUGUUAUUCGUUGUUUCUAUCCUCGGCUCUUUCGAUAGAGAGGCUGCGGAGGUUAUUUUGUCUCAAUUCGAUCUCCUUCGUCAGAUGUGGAUAUGAUGAAGGAGAGAUUUGUAAAGUUGUUGCUUGGUGAAGAUAUGUCAGGUUCUGGCAAAGGCGUGUGUACGGCUUUAGCCAUCUCCAACGCUAUCACUAAUCUAUGUGCUACAAUAAGACUAUCUUAUUUUUGGGCAACUAUGGAGAUUAGAGCCGCUUCCGAGGGAAAAAAAGGAGAUGUGGAGAAGAGAGAUGGAGUGGAUACUUAGUGUUAGUGAUCACAUCGUUGAGUUAACACCUUCUACACAAACUUACCAAGACGGCAAAAAGUUUGAGGUGUGGCCUUGCAAAGUGAUUGCUCCCAAAUACAAAGAGCUAUCUGAGAAGUACCAGGAUAUGGUGUUUCUUAAGCUUGACUGCAACCAAGACAACAAGAGAUAUGUUCGUGUUCGUGGAGCGGAGGACAACAUAGUUGGUUUCCGCGUGCUGUACGAGACACAGAGAUAACUUCUAGAUAGAGAGAGAGAAACAGAGAUGGAGACAAAAACCCUUUAAAGGAUUUGAACGGAGAAGACGAGGCAUAACACAACACAACAACUCUGUAAGUAAGUUCUGAUCAGACCCCAAUAUUUCAGUUUCUUGAUGUUUUGUCUGAAAAGUUUCAAGAUUUGAUUUUGAGGUGUUGGAGUGUCUCUCUUUUUUUUCUUCUUCGAAUUCGUCUGAACAGAUCUCUCUGUUUCCCUUGGAAUUAUCGAUCUCUCAAUCACUCAUGCUGUAAAGUAUAAGGAUCAUCCUCUAUCUUAAUUCUGCUCUUGGAGAGCAAGAUACAAGAGACAAAAGCAAAGAAAGAUACGCUCCUUGCAUGUGCUCGAACUGCCAAGUUUGUAUCGGUUCCUUAUUAUCCUUAAUGGGAAGCUUGUUCCUUGUUCCACAAACAACAGUCACUGUUUGAAAAAAAAAACAAAAAGCACUUCCAAACCAAGUACAUAAUUAUACCUUAAUUGACAUUAAAAAAAUCUACAUCAAUAAAAAAAAAAAAAAAUACAACGAAUCAAAACCACACAAUUGAAUCAUCCACAAAACAAUUCACAAAUAAGAUGCUAAAGAUAUAAUAAAUCUUUAAUCCAACACAAACAUACAAAACAACA
Non-coding RNA from Camelina sativa (false flax), 1467 nucleotides. The record is from RefSeq and is a predicted model, not a curated record. Lineage: Eukaryota; Viridiplantae; Streptophyta; Magnoliopsida; Brassicales; Brassicaceae.